RNAcentral lists this ribosomal RNA (513 nucleotides) under uncultured bacterium. Its description in RNAcentral is "partial 16S ribosomal RNA". It matches the Rfam family "Bacterial small subunit ribosomal RNA", at positions 28 to 523 of the family's 1533-position model. The record is from RNAcentral.
GAUGAACGCUGGCGGCGUGCCUAAUACAUGCAAGUCGAGCGAACAGACGAGGAGCUUGCUCCUCUGACGUUAGCGGCUGACGGGUGAGUAACACGUGGAUAACCUACCUAUAAGACUGGGAUAACUUCGGGAAACCGGAGCUAAUACCGGAUAAUAUAUUGAACCGCAUGGUUCAAUAGUGAAAGACGGUUUUGCUGUCACUUAUAGAUGGAUCCGCGCCGCAUUAGCUAGUUGGUAAGGUAACGGCUUACCAAGGCAACGAUGCGUAGCCGACCUGAGAGGGUGAUCGGCAACACUGGAACUGAGACACGGUCCAGACUCCUACGGGAGGCAGCAGUAGGGAAUCUUCCGCAAUGGGCGAAAGCCUGACGGAGCAACGCCGCGUGAGUGAUGAAGGUCUUCGGAUCGUAAAACUCUGUUAUUAGGGAAGAACAAAUGUGUAAGUAACUAUGCACGUCUUGACGGUACCUAAUCAGAAAGCCACGGCUAACUACGUGCCAGCAGCCGCCGCCG